Molecule: ribosomal RNA, 957 nt
Filed under: Triticum aestivum (bread wheat)
Lineage: Eukaryota; Viridiplantae; Streptophyta; Magnoliopsida; Poales; Poaceae
Description: partial small subunit ribosomal RNA
Source: RNAcentral
AUGGUCCUCAGAGAUACCAGGGAUAUGUUGCAAUCCAUGGGAAAGGAUAUUACAAACUAUGGACUUCCGGAAUUGGUUGAUACCGAUGGUUCUUAUGGCGGUGAGUACAGAGAGGUAACAGAGGAGAGGCAAAUCAGCGUGGACAAAGAACAUCUAGAUUUAUUUACCAGUUUGAACACUGAGCAGCUGGCUGGUUUCAAUGACAUAAUGGAUCAUGUGGUGAACCAAAAAAGCCAGAUAUUCUUUGUUGAUGGUCCGGGCGGCACUAGGAAGACAUACUUGUACAAGGCAUUGCUUGCAAAGGUGCGUUCGAUGGGAAAAAUAGCCAUCGCAACUGCUACAUCAGGUAUUGCGGCGUCGAUAAUGCCUGGAGGACGAACAACACACUCCAGGCAGAGUGGUACAACUGAUUUGCUUAAACAAGCGUCUUUGAUAAUUUGGGAUGAAGUCGCUAUGACAAAACGUCAAGAAGUUGAGACGCUUGAUAGAUCACUACAGGAUAUAAUGGAAAGUCGUUUGCCGUUUGGGGGAAAGGUUGUCGUCUUUGGUAGUGAUUUCAGGCAGGUCCUUCCUGUUGUGACACGUGGGACAAGAGCACAGUCUGAUCCUUGGUUCUCCGAAUACCUCCUAAGGAUCGACAAUGGAACGAAAGAGACAAUUGGAGACGACUAUGUUCGUCUCCCUGACGACAUUGUGAUCGGCUAUACUGAGGAUGAAAAACCUAUUAACACACUCAUCGAAGAUGUCUUCCCAUCGUUGCAUGCCAAUGCUAGAUCGAGAGAGUACAUGAGGGCACGUGCAAUUCUUUCGACCAAGAACGAUCAUGUGGAUGACCUGAAUGACAAGAUGAUCUCAAGGUUUCCAGGCGAAGAAAAAUUAAAGGUCAAAUGUCCGGUCAUUCUGCUCCAGAACCUCGACUCUCAUAAUGGCCUAUGCAGGAACACGACUUAUGAUUAG